Molecule: ribosomal RNA, 508 nt
Filed under: uncultured bacterium
Lineage: Bacteria
Description: partial 16S ribosomal RNA
Rfam family: Bacterial small subunit ribosomal RNA
Source: RNAcentral
GACGAACGCUGGCGGCGUGCCUAAUACAUGCAAGUCGAACGCUUCUUUCCUCCCGAGUGCUUGCACUCAAUUGGAAAGAGGAGUGGCGGACGGGUGAGUAACACGUGGGUAACCUACCCAUCAGAGGGGGAUAACACUUGGAAACAGGUGCUAAUACCGCAUAACAGUUUACGCCGCAUGGCAUAAGAGUGAAAGGCGCUUUCGGGGGUCGCUGAUGGAUGGACCCGCGGUGCAUUAGCUAGUUGGUGAGGUAACGGCUCACCAAGGCCACGAUGCAUAGCCGACCUGAGAGGGUGAUCGGCCACACUGGGACUGAGACACGGCCCAGACUCCUACGGGAGGCAGCAGUAGGGAAUCUUCGGCAAUGGACGAAAGUCUGACCGAGCAACGCCGCGUGAGUGAAGAAGGUUUUCGGAUCGUAAAACUCUGUUGUUAGAGAAGAACAAGGACGUUAGUAACUGAACGUCCCCUGACGGUAUCUAACCAGAAAGCCACGGCUAACUACGUG